UACAGAGGGUGCAAACGUUGCUCGGAAUUACUGGGCGUAAAGCGCGUGUAGGUGGCCUCGCGAGUCUGCCGUGAAAGCCUGGGGCUCAACCCCAGAAGUGCGGUGGAUACUACUUGGCUAGAGUCUUCAAGAGGAGAGCGGAAUUCCUGGUGUAGAGGUGAAAUUCGUAGAUAUCAGGAGGAACACCUGUGGCGAAGGCGGCUCUCUGGGGAAGUACUGACACUGAGACGCGAAAGCGUGGGGAGCAAACAGG
Molecule: ribosomal RNA, 253 nt
Filed under: uncultured bacterium
Lineage: Bacteria
Description: partial 16S ribosomal RNA
Rfam family: Bacterial small subunit ribosomal RNA
Source: RNAcentral